AUUCAAUUAGUAUAUAUUUAAGUAUAUUAAGCUUCCAACUUAAAGGAUAAAAACUUAAUUGAAUA
This 65-nucleotide transfer RNA is filed under the name Nesophrosyne sp. 48 GMB-2012. Its description in RNAcentral is "tRNA-Gly". Lineage: Eukaryota; Metazoa; Arthropoda; Insecta; Hemiptera; Cicadellidae. The record is from RNAcentral.